GAGGGUGCAAGCGUAAUCGGAAUACUGGGCGUAAAGCGCACGCAGGCGGUCUGUCAAGUCGGAUGUGAAAUCCCCGGGCUCAACCUGGGAACUGCAUUCGAAACUGGCAGGCUAGAGUCUUGUAGAGGGGGGUAGAAUUCCAGGUGUAGCGGUGAAAUGCGUAGAGAUCUGGAGGAAUACCGGUGGCGAAGGCGGCCCCCUGGACAAAGACUGACGCUCAGGUGCGAAAGCGUGGGGAGCAAACAGGAUUAGAUACCCUGGUAGUCCACGCCGUAAACGAUGUCGAUUUGGAGGUUGUGCCCUUGAGGCGUGGCUUCCGGAGCUAACGCGUUAAAUCGACCGCCUGGGGAGUACGGCCGCAAGGUUAAAACUCAAAUGAAUUGACGGGGGCCCGCACAAGCGGUGGAGCAUGUGGUUAAUUCGAUGCAACGCGAAGAACCUUACCUGGUCUUGACAUCCACAGAACUUUGCAGAGAUGGAUGGUGUCCUCGGGAACUGUGACGACAGGUGCGACA
Molecule: ribosomal RNA, 515 nt
Filed under: Klebsiella sp. C2M
Lineage: Bacteria; Pseudomonadati; Pseudomonadota; Gammaproteobacteria; Enterobacterales; Enterobacteriaceae
Description: bacterial SSU rRNA
Rfam family: Bacterial small subunit ribosomal RNA
Source: RNAcentral